GUGUGAAUCAGCUCAUGUUUGAGGCAAUCGGAGCUGGUCUGAAACCUCUUAUUACACACAGGACACUCAAAGUGCCUCUCCCUGGUGUGAACGCACUGGUGUCUUCUCAGGAUGGACAUCCACCCAAAGCUCUGCCUACAUUCCGAGCAGGUCUAGGGUCGUUCCCCAUUGUGGAUCAUCUGGUGCCGCAUCAGGAUGGAGAUGUCGCUGAUACUCUUCCCGCAUUUCCCACAUUCGGCUUCUCCCCAGUGUGGAUAACCUGGCGCCAGAUCAGCUGCGAGCUGUAGCUGAAACCCUUCCUACAUUCCAAGCACUUGUGGGGCUUCUCCCCUCCAUGAAGCUUCUCCACCAGCUCUGAGCCUGGAUCUCCAGCCACCUUCCCAGCAUAGGGAGGGUCUUUCCUCCUCACAGCUCCCUGGGCUGGCUCUGCAGCCCCUCUUCCUGCAGGAUCUCUGGGGCAUUUCCUCCUCCUCAAUCCACCAUGCCUUGGUAACGACAAAUCCUGUUUUGUGGGAAUAAACAAGAAGAGAUCUCCACAGA
Long non-coding RNA from Oenanthe melanoleuca, 540 nucleotides. RefSeq lists it as uncharacterized. Lineage: Eukaryota; Metazoa; Chordata; Aves; Passeriformes; Muscicapidae. The record is from RefSeq and is a predicted model, not a curated record. The transcript has 2 exons.